This 393-nucleotide ribosomal RNA is filed under the name uncultured bacterium. Its description in RNAcentral is "bacterial SSU rRNA". It matches the Rfam family "Bacterial small subunit ribosomal RNA", at positions 28 to 424 of the family's 1533-position model. The record is from RNAcentral.
GACGAACGCUGGCGGCGUGCUUAACACAUGCAAGUCGAGCGGUAAGGCCCUUUCGGGGGUACACGAGCGGCGAACGGGUGAGUAACACGUGGGUGACCUGCCCUUAGCUCUGGGAUAAGCCUGGGAAACUGGGUCUAAUACCGGAUAUGACUCCAUGACGCAUGUUGUGGGGUGGAAAGCCUUGUGCGGCUAGGGAUGGGCCCGCGGCCUAUCAGCUUGUUGGUGGGGUGAUGGCCUACCAAGGCGACGACGGGUAGCCGGCCUGAGAGGGCGACCGGCCACACUGGGACUGAGAUACGGCCCAGACUCCUACGGGAGGCAGCAGUGGGGAAUCUUGCGCAAUGGGCGAAAGCCUGACGCAGCGACGCCGCGUGAGGGAUGACGGCCUCGGUU